RNAcentral lists this non-coding RNA (162 nucleotides) under Bartonella henselae. RNAcentral describes it as "6S / SsrS RNA". It matches the Rfam family "6S / SsrS RNA". Rfam says of the family: E. coli 6S RNA was the first non coding RNA to be sequenced, but its function was unknown until recently. It consists of 184 nucleotides that fold into an extended hairpin structure with a large single-stranded internal bulge. The 6S RNA specifically associates with RNA polymerase holoenzyme containing the sigma70 specificity factor. The record is from Rfam by way of RNAcentral. RNAcentral also lists the same sequence under 1 other name. Lineage: Bacteria; Pseudomonadati; Pseudomonadota; Alphaproteobacteria; Hyphomicrobiales; Bartonellaceae.
GGUGUUCUGCGCCUCUCGACAGGAAAUAACAUAUUCCUGAGACCUUAGUGAUUUCCAAGGGAGCUGUCCCUGAUUAAGCUCGUGGGCUUUUUCAUAUGGCGCCCACCUAUUUAUAUAGGUUCCCAGGGAUCAACUUUUUCCAUCGGUUGUUGUGGAUCACCA